This 342-nucleotide unclassified non-coding RNA is filed under the name soil metagenome. Its description in RNAcentral is "partial contains 5.8S ribosomal RNA, internal transcribed spacer 2, and large subunit ribosomal RNA". The stretch from base 1 to 120 matches the Rfam family "5.8S ribosomal RNA", at positions 35 to 154 of the family's 154-position model. The record is from RNAcentral.
GAUGAAGAACGUAGCGAAAUGCGAUAAGUAAUGUGAAUUGCAGAAUUCAGUGAAUCAUCGAAUCUUUGAACGCACAUUGCGCCCGCCAGCAUUCUGGCGGGCAUGCCUGUUCGAGCGUCAUUUCAACCCUCGAGCCCCCCCGGGGGCCUCGGUGUUGGGGGACGGCACACCAGCCGCCCCCGAAAUGCAGUGGCGACCUCGCCGCAGCCUCCCCUGCGUAGUAGCACACACCUCGCACCGGAGCGCGGAGACGGUCACGCCGUAAAACGCCCAACUUCUUAGAGAUGACCUCGGAUCAGGUAGGAAUACCCGCUGAACUUAAGCAUAUCAAUAAGCGGAGGA